Molecule: microRNA precursor, 69 nt
Filed under: Drosophila guanche
Lineage: Eukaryota; Metazoa; Arthropoda; Insecta; Diptera; Drosophilidae
Source: RNAcentral
GCCUGCCUGCCUGCCUGCCUGCCAGUGUGGAUUUACAGUGGAGGGUGACAGACAGGCAGGCAGGCAGGC